Molecule: long non-coding RNA, 2393 nt
Organism: Cercocebus atys (sooty mangabey)
Lineage: Eukaryota; Metazoa; Chordata; Mammalia; Primates; Cercopithecidae
Exons: 4
Source: RefSeq, a predicted model, not a curated record
GCAAGGCAGCCAUGAGGCGGAGGACAGGCUGGGGGACCCCAAUGGGUCCACUCCGGCCCCCACCCCAGGCACUGGGACUCUGGUGGCACCCUGGAUGGCAGGCAAGCCUUGAAGUCAAGUGCACGCGCCUUGGAAAGGAGGACAGGGAGAGUUAUGGGAUUUAUGAAUGAAGAAGAGAAAGAGAAUCACUCGGAUGGGAAAAGUUAACUGGAUUGUUCCCACCUGCAUGGAUCACCGGGUCUGGACAGCUGCUUGUUAUAUUUGGCUCAUGCUAGCUUAAAAAAGGAAUUUAUGGACCUUACUGCAGAACGUCCCAAUUCUUCAGGCCAAGAAAACCCAUCCAGACGAGGCUCAAGUCAUAAAAGAGCAUGAGACAUGGAUCUCCAUUUGUUCUGAGGAAAAUUCCCUGGAGUCCAAGGGUUGUGUGAUGAGGCCCCCCGCCACCACUCCGUAACUUCCUGGCCAUCUGCGUGACUCGCAACCCUGAGGCUUCCAAGGAAGAGCAUUUUAGCCACCCCUCAAGACUGCUUCACAGCCGGCAUCGCUUGAGCACAUUGCCUCAUUUUUUUUGAAGGGAUCACGCUGGUUUAUGGCUUUUUCACCUCCAAACCUGCCCUCACUGGGUGCAGGAGAAAUUCCGAUUUGCCAGGAACCUGUCCAGUCAUCUGGAACCUUCCCCAGGGCUGGGAAGGUCAACUCCCGCCACAGGUCAUAUUGAUUUUAUUGGAUGGCUUUUUCCAAAGCAGUGGAACAGCAGCAGGCGGGGAGGGUUUCCAGCUCUGCGCGGGAGCACACGGCCCACGCUGCCUGAAACGGCUCUCCCGUUCCUCGCCAGUACAGGGAGCGGGUAUAGGGGCUGGCCCACCUACAAUCCCCUCCUAGAUCAGGCCUUUGCUUGCAUUAUCAGAGUGGGAUUGUCAACCUGGUUUCCUUAAAUUGCUGCAUGAGCUCGGUCCAUGUGUGGUCACAAAGCAAGAUACCCCAUCCGCCCCACGGAAUAUAUUAAGCGUCUGUGCAGUGAUUGCUGUUGACCGCUUCCUGGGAGCUGGCGAGGAAGCCCCUGCUAGCCCCUGAUAGGGAAGAGACAGUCGUGGGGGACAGAGCAGAUGUGCCUUGGGAAGAGUCAAAAGGGAAGAGGGAGGGGUGGGCUGGGUUGAAAGCCUGCUGGACCUGGGCUCUACCCUUUAUCACCUUCCAAGGGAGGCAUGAUCCCAUUGUACAGAGUAAGGCCCUGAGGCCAGGAAGGGCAAGGUGACCUGAGAGCUAGCGGGAGAAGCCAGGCCUAGCUCCAGAAUCCUUGCCUGUAACAGAGAGAAUGGCUGUUCUCUCACUUUGGUACACAUCAAAAUCAGAGGGCUUGUCAAAAUGCUGUUUCCCAGGCCCCCACACCAACUCCUGGGGGACAGACGUCUCUGGAUAGCAAGUCACAGAUGUGUACUGGCAGGGGCCACAUGAGGACCCAUGGCUACACUGCUGACCAAAGGUCUUCUCCAGUGACAGGCAAACGACUCUGGACCCAUGAACACCAGGGGAGUGAUCCAGGGAGAGAGAAGAUGUUUCGGGCUCUCUGGUUGUGAAUUCUAAUCCCCAUCGUUUAUCUGAUCCUUUCUCACUCCAAAUGGUUUGGAAAUGCCAGCACACACUCAACUUCCUCAGAGGCACAUCUGUGUUUCGUGGUGCAACAAGGAAAGCCUGGGUGCAGGCACAGAGGUCUGUAGUCACGUGGGAGUUUGGAGGCUGCAAGUUGCUUGAUGCUGGUGGAUUAUCAAGUAUGAGAUGUGAUGUGGAGGGGUAGAUAAGACAGAUCGUGAAGGUUAAAUAUUGUAUCUGUCCCCUCCGCCUUUUUUUCCCCCCCAAGUGGUGACAGGAAGUCUCCUAAGGGUUUUAACUGGGGGAUGACAUGGCCAGUCCUAGGUGUUUGAAGGUUCACCCUGGCUGCAGUACAGAAAGGCAAAGCUGGACCAGGGCAGUUAGGAGCCUUGUGUGGUCCAAGCAAAAUAUACAGAGGCAUUUGAGUUCAGGUUAACCUGAAUGAGGAGUCCUUAUAGAUCCGCGAGAGCAUUCACUAGAGAAACCAGAAGAGCCACACCUUAGCAGUGGGCCUAAAUUAUUCCUACAGUAAGGGCUACAUUAGACCCACCCUAACCAAGAUUAUAAACAAGUCUCCAAAGGGUCAAACUGAACCACAAGUUUGAUUUGCCUGAAAAAGUUUUGCCCCCAAAAGUCUUUAUUUUAUAAUUAUCUGCCUACCAAAGCAAAGCCCAACACUCUUCGAAGGAAGACAACAACAUUUUAGACACUCAACAUUGAAGUGUCUAAAUGUUCUUAGAGCAGAAAGGAAAUGAUGCCAGAUAGAAAUUUAGAUCUACAAAAGAAAGAAUGACAAUAACAAA